RNAcentral lists this ribosomal RNA (253 nucleotides) under uncultured bacterium. Its description in RNAcentral is "partial 16S ribosomal RNA". It matches the Rfam family "Bacterial small subunit ribosomal RNA", at positions 524 to 776 of the family's 1533-position model. The record is from RNAcentral.
UACGAAGGGGGCGAGCGUUGUUCGGAUUUACUGGGCGUAAAGGGCGCGCAGGCGGCGCAUUUUGUCAGGCGUGAAAGCCCCGGGCUUAACCUGGGAACUGCGUUUGAUACGGAUGGGCUAGAGUUCGGGAGAGGAGAGUGGAAUUCCCAGUGUAGAGGUGAAAUUCGUAGAUAUUGGGAAGAACACCAGUGGCGAAGGCGACUUACUGGACACAUAUUGACGCUGAGGUGCGAAAGCGUGGGGAGCAAACAGG